AGUGAACGCUGGCGGUAGGCCUAACACAUGCAAGUCGAACGGCAGCACAGUAAGAGCUUGCUCUUACGGGUGGCGAGUGGCGGACGGGUGAGGAAUACAUCGGAAUCUACUUUUUCGUGGGGGAUAACGUAGGGAAACUUACGCUAAUACCGCAUACGACCUACGGGUGAAAGCAGGGGAUCUUCUGACCUUGCGCGAUUGAAUGAGCCGAUGUCGGAUUAGCUAGUUGGCGGGGUAAAGGCCCACCAAGGCGACGAUCCGUAGCUGGUCUGAGAGGAUGGUCAGCCGCCCUGGAACUGAGACACGGUCCAGACUCCUACGGGAGGCAGCAGUGGGGAAUAUUGGACAAUGGGCGCAAGCCUGAUCCAGCCAUACCGCGUGGGUGAAGAAGGCCUUCGGGUUGUAAAGCCCUUUUGUUGGGAAAGAAAAGCAGCAGGUUAAUACCCCGCUGUUCUGACGGUACCCAAAGAAUAAGCACCGGCUAACUUCGUG
Molecule: ribosomal RNA, 492 nt
Filed under: uncultured bacterium
Lineage: Bacteria
Description: partial 16S ribosomal RNA
Rfam family: Bacterial small subunit ribosomal RNA
Source: RNAcentral